AAAGCGCCCUUUACGGGUUUUCUCCUUGACCUCUCCUUUUUCUUUUUCUCUUUUUUUUUUCUUUUUUUCCUAUUUUGACUUUGAUUUUUUGUUUUUUGUUUUUUUGAUUUUUUUGAUUUUUUUGAUUUUUUUUUGAUUUUUUUGAUUUUUGAUUUUUUAUAUUUUUUUUUGAGUCUGAACUCAUGAGAUUAGGCAAGUCCUGGUCAUGCUUUUCGACCAGAAUCAAUGUUAUUCUAAAGUCUUCCACAUAAGAUCUUCCACUUUCAUCUUGUAUGUGAGAAACCUUCUUUG
RNAcentral lists this long non-coding RNA (291 nucleotides) under Gossypium raimondii (Peruvian cotton). RNAcentral describes it as "long non-coding RNA (GRAI_LNC001852)". The record is from RNAcentral. Lineage: Eukaryota; Viridiplantae; Streptophyta; Magnoliopsida; Malvales; Malvaceae.